UUUAAAAUCAAAGAGCUGAAUAGCUCUGAGGGGAAAGACGGCCCUUGUUUCUAUUUUAUUAUGUUUUUGGAAAGGGGGGGUAUCUUUUGAUAGUUUACAUAUGAAGAAUGAAAAAGAGAACCGCUAGAACAUGUAGAAAAGUUGACAAUAUUGAAAUCAAUUGUUGUUUAUGUAAUUUCAUUUCCUUAGUUUAGGAUUCAAUUUGGACCAAUGGAAGUGAUCUGCAUCUUCUAAAUCUAAACAUUUGAUUAAAG
Molecule: long non-coding RNA, 254 nt
Filed under: Mytilus galloprovincialis (Mediterranean mussel)
Lineage: Eukaryota; Metazoa; Mollusca; Bivalvia; Mytilida; Mytilidae
Source: RNAcentral